RNAcentral lists this ribosomal RNA (164 nucleotides) under Ourisia muscosa. RNAcentral's name for it is "5.8S ribosomal RNA". It matches the Rfam family "5.8S ribosomal RNA". Rfam says of the family: 5.8S ribosomal RNA (5.8S rRNA) is a component of the large subunit of the eukaryotic ribosome. It is transcribed by RNA polymerase I as part of the 45S precursor that also contains 18S and 28S rRNA. Lineage: Eukaryota; Viridiplantae; Streptophyta; Magnoliopsida; Lamiales; Plantaginaceae. The record is from RNAcentral.
UCAAAAUGACUCUCGGCAACGGAUAUCUCGGCUCUCGCAUCUAUGAAGAACAUAGCAAAACGUGAUAUUUGGUGUGAAUUGCAGAAUCCCGUGAACCAUCGAGUUUUUGAACGCAAGUUGCGCCCGAAGCAGUUAGGCCGAGGUCAUCUCUGAAUGGGCGUCAC